AGAACAGUCCAGGUGUGUGUGAGAACAGUCCAGGUGUGUGUGAGAACAGUCCAGGUGUGUGUGAGAACAGUCCAGGUGUGUGUGAGAACAGUCCAGGUGUGUGUGAGAACAGUCCAUGUGUGUGAGAACAGUCCAGGUGUGUGUGAGAACAGUCCAGAUGUGUGUGAGAACAGUCCAUGUGUGUGAGAACAGUCCAGGUGUGUGUGAGAACAGUCCAGGUGUGUGUGAGAACAGUCCAGGUGUGUGUGAGAACAGUCCAGGUGUGUGUGAGAACAGUCCAGGUGUGUGAGAACAGUCCAGAUGUGUGAGAACAGUCCAGGUGUGUGAGAACAGUCCAGGUGUGUGUGAGAACAGUCCAGGUGUGUGUGAGAACAGUCCAGGUGUGUGAGAACAGUCCAGGUGUGUGAGAACAGUCCAGGUGUGUGAGAACAGUCCAGGUGUGUGAGAACAGUCCAGGUGUGUGAGAACAGUCCAUAUGUGUGAGAACAGUCCAGGUGUGUGAGAACAGUCCAGGUGUGUGAGAACAGUCCAGGUGUGUGAGAACAGUCCAGGUGUGUGAGAACAGUCCAGGUGUGUGAGAACAGUCCAGGUGUGUGAGAACAGUCCAGGUGUGUGAGAACAGUCCAGGUGUGUGAGAACAGUCCAGGUGUGUGAGAACAGUCCAGGUGUGUGAGAACAGUCCAGGUGUGUGAGAACAGUCCAGGUGUGUGAGAACAGUCCAGAUGUGUGAGAACA
Molecule: long non-coding RNA, 735 nt
Organism: Acanthochromis polyacanthus (spiny chromis)
Lineage: Eukaryota; Metazoa; Chordata; Actinopteri; Pomacentridae
Exons: 4
Source: RefSeq, a predicted model, not a curated record